This 436-nucleotide long non-coding RNA is filed under the name Homo sapiens (human). RNAcentral describes it as "non-protein coding lnc-UBXN4-6:1". Lineage: Eukaryota; Metazoa; Chordata; Mammalia; Primates; Hominidae. The record is from RNAcentral.
CUGGCUAACACAGGGAAACCUCAUCUCUACUAAAAAUACAAAAAAUUAGCUGGGCAUGGUGGCGGGUGCCUGUAGUCCCAGCUACAGGCUGGGACUGAGGCAGGAGGCUCAGGAGGCUGAGGCGGGAGAAUGGCGUGAACCUGGGAGGCAGAGCGCCACUGCACUCCAGCCUGGGCGACAGAGAGAGGCUCCGUCGCAGUACCCUGUCUCCAAAAGAAAAAUGUCAGUUAUCUAUACUUUUUUUAUGCCACCAUACUUGUUUCCCCUGUUCAUCUUAUUUUGAACAAUUAGAAAACUCUGGCAAGUACUUUUUGUUUUAUUUUAUUUUUUAUUUUUUUGAGACAGUCUCUCACUCCGUCACCCAGUCUGGAAUAUAGUGGCGCCAUCUCAGCUCACUGCAACCUCUACCUCCCAAGUUCAAGCAGUUCUCAUGCCU